Molecule: ribosomal RNA, 482 nt
Filed under: uncultured bacterium
Lineage: Bacteria
Description: bacterial SSU rRNA
Rfam family: Bacterial small subunit ribosomal RNA
Source: RNAcentral
UUGAACGCUGGCGGCGUGCUUAACACAUGCAAGUCGAGCGGUAACAGGCGUAGCAAUACGUGCUGACGAGCGGCGAACGGGUGCGUAAUACAUGGGAAUCUGCCUUUUAGUGGGGAAUAACCCGGCGAAAGCCGGGCUAAUGCCGCAUAAGAUCUUCGGAUGAAAGCGGGGGAUCGUAAGACCUCGCGCUGAUAGAUGAGCCCAUGCCGGAUUAGCUAGUUGGUGAGGUAACGGCUCACCAAGGCGACGAUCCGUAGCUGGUCUGAGAGGACGGCCAGCCACACUGGGACUGAGACACGGCCCAGACUCCUACGGGAGGCAGCAGUGGGGAAUAUUGGACAAUGGGGGAAACCCUGAUCCAGCGACGCCGCGUGUGUGAAGAAGGCCUGCGGGUUGUAAAGCACUUUCGGUGGGAACGAAAUAUGCCGGGCUAAUACCCCGGUAGGCUGACGUUACUCAAUGAAGAAGCACCGGCUAACUCU